GAGUAACUAGGUGAAACUGAAAACAAUCACAGAUGGAAUAGAAAUGUGAUCAGUUUGUAUACAGACUAAUUUUGUGCAUAGAAAUUAAACCCUCUGCCCAGACUUCUUGCCUAAUCUGUCAAUUUGGGGUUGUUUCUGAUAACACAACGGUUCUUUUUAGCUCUUAAGAGCACAGACUCAGCUCAGCAGUACCAGCUUUUCUCAGACUGAGUGGCAUGAGAGAUUUCAACACAUGUGUCAGCAGCCAGACUAACUGUGAAAAGAAUCACUGAACCAUAUGAAAAUGGAAAGCUCAACCACCAGACUUCUCCUGAGAGAGUAUCAGCCUAUGAUCAUUACAUGUCUUCUACUUAGCAAUCAAAAGUAAAUAAGACUGUUGGAGCCUCUUCUGUAUGAAACACAUGGCGACUUUACAUACAUCAAUUAAUAAAGCUUCAGGACCCCUACCAGGUAAAUUUUAAUAAAACCCAGGAGUCCUA
Molecule: long non-coding RNA, 479 nt
Filed under: Mustela putorius furo (domestic ferret)
Lineage: Eukaryota; Metazoa; Chordata; Mammalia; Carnivora; Mustelidae
Description: lncRNA (ENSMPUG00000028168.1)
Source: RNAcentral